This 439-nucleotide ribosomal RNA is filed under the name uncultured bacterium. RNAcentral's name for it is "partial 16S ribosomal RNA". It matches the Rfam family "Bacterial small subunit ribosomal RNA", at positions 339 to 795 of the family's 1533-position model. The record is from RNAcentral.
CUACGGGACGCUCCAGUGGGGAAUAUUGCACAAUGGAGGAAACUCUGAUGCAGCAACGCCGCGUGGAGGAUGACACUUUUCGGAGCGUAAACUCCUUUUAUAUAGGAAGAAGAUGACGGUACUAUAUGAAUAAGCGCCGGCUAACUCCGUGCCAGCAGCCGCGGUAAUACGGAGGGCGCAAGCGUUACUCGGAAUCACUGGGCGUAAAGAGCGUGUAGGCGGAUUAAAAAGUCAGAAGUGAAAUCCUAUAGCUUAACUAUAGAACUGCUUCUGUAACUCUUAAUCUAGAAUAUGGGAGAGGUAGAUGGAAUUUCUGGUGUAUGGGUAAAAUCCGUAGAGAUCAGAAGGAAUACCGAUUGCGAAGGCGAUCUACUAGAACAUUAUUGACGCUGAGACGCGAGAGCGUGGGGAGCAAACAGGAUUAGAUACCCGAGUAGUC